Molecule: ribosomal RNA, 928 nt
Filed under: Plantibacter sp.
Lineage: Bacteria; Bacillati; Actinomycetota; Actinomycetes; Micrococcales; Microbacteriaceae
Description: bacterial SSU rRNA
Rfam family: Bacterial small subunit ribosomal RNA
Source: RNAcentral
GAGCUCGUAGGCGGUUUGUCGCGUCUGCUGUGAAAUCCCGAGGCUCAACCUCGGGUCUGCAGUGGGUACGGGCAGACUAGAGUGCGGUAGGGGAGAUUGGAAUUCCUGGUGUAGCGGUGGAAUGCGCAGAUAUCAGGAGGAACACCGAUGGCGAAGGCAGAUCUCUGGGCCGCUACUGACGCUGAGGAGCGAAAGGGUGGGGAGCAAACAGGCUUAGAUACCCUGGUAGUCCACCCCGUAAACGUUGGGCGCUAGAUGUGGGGACCAUUCCACGGUUUCCGUGUCGUAGCUAACGCAUUAAGCGCCCCGCCUGGGGAGUACGGCCGCAAGGCUAAAACUCAAAGGAAUUGACGGGGGCCCGCACAAGCGGCGGAGCAUGCGGAUUAAUUCGAUGCAACGCGAAGAACCUUACCAAGGCUUGACAUAUACGAGAACGGGCCAGAAAUGGUCAACUCUUUGGACACUCGUAAACAGGUGGUGCAUGGUUGUCGUCAGCUCGUGUCGUGAGAUGUUGGGUUAAGUCCCGCAACGAGCGCAACCCUCGUUCUAUGUUGCCAGCACGUCAUGGUGGGAACUCAUGGGAUACUGCCGGGGUCAACUCGGAGGAAGGUGGGGACGACGUCAAAUCAUCAUGCCCCUUAUGUCUUGGGCUUCACGCAUGCUACAAUGGCCAGUACAAAGGGCUGCAAUACCGUAAGGUGGAGCGAAUCCCAAAAAGCUGGUCCCAGUUCGGAUUGAGGUCUGCAACUCGACCUCAUGAAGUCGGAGUCGCUAGUAAUCGCAGAUCAGCAACGCUGCGGUGAAUACGUUCCCGGGCCUUGUACACACCGCCCGUCAAGUCAUGAAAGUCGGUAACACCCGAAGCCAGUGGCCUAACCGCAAGGAUGGAGCUGUCUAAGGUGGGAUCGGUAAUUAGGACGAAGUCGUA